This 1243-nucleotide unclassified non-coding RNA is filed under the name Hevea brasiliensis (rubber tree). The record is from RNAcentral. Lineage: Eukaryota; Viridiplantae; Streptophyta; Magnoliopsida; Malpighiales; Euphorbiaceae.
UCCAAACCCAUCCAACAUCCUCACAUUAAAGAAUUAAUGUUCUCUUCUGCGAAGUUAUGUUCAAUCACGAUAAGCUCCAUAUCAGCUCUUUUCUACUUUACAACAAAAACUGAAGCUUGGCCGGUGCUAUCCAGCAAAUAAAAUAACCUCUGAAGUUUCUCACCCUAACCCUAUUCAGGAAAUGCAUCUACUAAAGUAAAAGCAUUGUUGCAUUAGUAGACAUUAUGGUUGUAUACUCUUUAACAUUACAGGCAACAGGUAAAGUGUAUGUUCCAGAAAACACUUCCACCUCUACGUCUCCAAGCUGAGCUCAUCAUCUUGCUCACAAUUCUCAGGCGAGGUUGUGUCUGGGAAGAACUCUUCAUUUGGAUACAUCUUCUGAUACAGCUUCAUAGCUGAAUCUAAGAUAUCAUUGUGGUCUAGAUUUCCACUAGGCAUGGGAGUGGAGCUGAUAGAAUCAAAAUGACCCAUUGUAAGCUCCUGAAUAUACAAUGCUCUCCAAAGUAAAGUGGAUUUUGGUCCUGAAUUCUCAAUUUGAUCUGUAGAAAUACUUUCGGGAUUUACAGAAUCAGGACAAGUGAGAAGGGCAUUCAUGGCUGCAUUUAAUAACUUCUUCCCCUCAUGGGCAUCAUCACACAAAGCUGAAACAUACAGCACAAACAUGCCUGGAGGACAAACAGCUAAAUUGCCACCUAACUGGAGAGCUCGAAUUGAUGUAAUCUGCUCAGGAUACAAUGAUCGAGGUGGAUAUACAACCAGGAAAUUUGAUACGUCUGGCUUCAAUGAACUUCUGAUAAUGCAUAUUCCCCUAGCGACCUUCUGUUUAACAUCUCUCAAGCAUAGAAAAUGAAAACGUUCAUGGAAAGAAUCCAAUGGAGAAGAUGAGGCUGAUAGAACUGUUAAGGAUGGAUUCAGAACUAGCUUCUGGCUAAAUAUGUCCUGACCAGAAGCCAAUCUUAUGCCUUUGUACAUGCCACUACUCUUGUCCAUAAGCAAAGCAAUCACUUGCAUUCGCAAAACAUAAACACAGCCUUUGACUGCAGCACGACGACAAAGGGCUGGUGGCAUUUCCCCUUGACCAUAAAUAGGAUAUAUAAAAGCCCCAAGUGCAUUUGUCAACCUGCCAACUGACGAUUGAUAAAGAGCCAAGCGGGCUAUUCCAUCUUUUGUCUUGAGUAGAUCUUUACAUUCCUCUUUGUUGUCCUGGUCAAAAUCUGCCAUGGCUAUAGCAUACAGGAUAAUC